UACGGAGGGUGCGAGCGUUGUCCGGAAUCACUGGGCGUAAAGCGCGCGUAGGUGGCCUCAUAAGUCCGCUGUGAAAGUCAAAGGCUCAACCUUUGAAAGCCGGUGGAUACUGUGGGGCUAGAGUACGGAAGAGGCGAGUGGAAUUCCUGGUGUAGCGGUGGAAUGCGCAGAUAUCAGGAGGAACACCAAUAGCGAAGGCAGCUCGCUGGGACGUUACUGACACUGAGGCGCGAAAGCGUGGGGAGCGAACAGG
Molecule: ribosomal RNA, 253 nt
Filed under: uncultured bacterium
Lineage: Bacteria
Description: partial 16S ribosomal RNA
Rfam family: Bacterial small subunit ribosomal RNA
Source: RNAcentral